UGUAAAGCCAAAAUUGUUGUUGUAGACUUUCUAUCCAUGCCCAAAUAACAUAAGGAAGACAUACAUAUAUAGUAGUACUAAAUGUGUGCAGUGUGUAGUGCUCUCAUACCACGCUGGUAAAACUUCCAGUGAGUUUCUGCAUAAUCUGUCACUUUCUUGUAUAUCCUUGGUCUAUCCACAUUAACUAAGUCAUCUUCUGGUCCGAUUUCUUUCCCUAAUUCAGGUGUGUAGAACAUUGCAAUAGAAAUUCUGUCCCUCUCUGAAUUACUCACUACCCUAUGCACCGGGCUCUUGAAUAUUCCAUUGCUCAUUAUCUCCAUUUGAUCACCCAUGAGAACAAGCAGAGCUGUAGGAUUUCUUGGUACUGUAUACCAUUUUCCAUCCUUGAGCACUUGGAGUCCUACUUCAUCUUGUAAAAUAAUAGUGUAUCCUGUUCCAUCAGCAUGGGGUUUUAAGCCAAGAACCAGAUCAGGCCUCUGACAUGGUGAGUAGUAGUUAAACCUUGCAUGCAGUUGCGCUUUUUUUCCAAACUGUUCUAAGAAGCAAGUUUCUUCCAGUUUCAAUGACUUUGCCAUAGCUUUAGAGGUAAUUUCCGUGACCAUCUUCAUUUUCUCAGAAUAAUCUUCCAAGACCUCUCUGAAUGAUAUUGGG
This 651-nucleotide unclassified non-coding RNA is filed under the name Hevea brasiliensis (rubber tree). Lineage: Eukaryota; Viridiplantae; Streptophyta; Magnoliopsida; Malpighiales; Euphorbiaceae. The record is from RNAcentral.